UUUGUAAACUAUUAAACAAAAUGUUUUUGUUAUAUUUACAAUAACAAUAUGUGAUUAUAAUCAAAUGUAUUUGUUAAAACUACAAAUAUUGGUAACAAAAACAGCGAAAUACUGUAAUACUCUUAACAAAACAAUUAUGUUAAUUUGACAUGCAAAUAUUGUAGAAACUACAGUUUUAGCCAGUUGAUUUAAAAAUACAAAACAUAUAUGUAAUCAUAUAUACAAGUCUAUGCUGUACUUUUAACAUGAUCUUGAUGAAACUAUGCAAAUUGAGAUAGGCCUAAUAAAAAUUCUCACUGUGAAAAAAAUGUCAUUGUGAACCUCGAGGUUGCCUAUCUAUUUAUAGGAUAUAUAAAAAUAUACAAUUAUAAUUCCAAUGUUUUUUUUUAUCAUGGCUAUUUGUAGCCAAUCUGGUGCUGAUCUUCAUGAUGCAGGUUUUAUAUUGGUGAUAUUGAGAUUUGGUGAGUGAGAUUGGUGAGCCAGAUAAAAACAUCCAUGAAUAUUGGGUCAUUUACGGAGGAACUGCACCUGUUUUUUUUCGUAAGCUUGAUAAAUGAGCACUGAGUCCGCCUAACUUAGAAUUUAAAAGUGUGCAGCUCGUCUCUGAUUGGAUAAUGACGUAAGGGCGGGAGGAGAAGCACGAGCUCCUCGUUCACGGCUUCAGCUGACGUCACCAACGAGCCAGUAGUAGCGCCGCCGCGUCUGCAGAGUGGAGAACGCAUCAGAAAUCUUCGGACUACCGGACUACUUUGUACUACUUUCAUAAAACUUAUUUUGGACAAAUCUACGAUUGGAAGAUCCGUGGCUAUUCAAUCGAUCCGUGGCUAUUGCAACAAAGUUUGCAAGGUAAGCUUAAAAUGUCGGCUACUUCUCCUACUUUUUGCUGAAAGCACAUGGUGUAAGCUAGCACCAGUUGAUAUUUAGCAGGCGCUAGCAACAGUUGAUAUGUAGCAGGCUAAAGACCAAUCGAUUGAUGACUAUAAAAAUGAUCACCUGCGUCUUUUGUAGAAAGAUAUUGGUUACAUUAAGAGGCUAUGUACUACAUUGCAGAGUGCAUAGGAAUGAGCCUCGUUGUCUUUUCAAAUGUGUUGGCGCCAACUGUAGUCAAACAUUUACCACUUAUGCAGCUUUCAAGGGGCAUUUUUAUCGCGUGCACAAUGCACCUGAACCGCAAGCCACUCCUAGAGCUGUUGUUGCAGAUUUAAAAUGCGCAGUUUCAUUAUGUGCCCGCCAUUUUCACACAGUGAAAGAGCUAGUGUCUCACUUAAAUGAUCAUAUUGGAGAGGGCAGGUCUGUGUCAUGUCCAGUAAGUGGUUGUAAGCACAUGUUUACAAAAAAGUCAUCAUUUACUUCUCACAUGUGUAGGAAGCAUAAAGCAUGCUCCCCUGAUGGUAUUGAUGACAUGUACAGGGAAACUCGCCCUCAGCCCCCAAAUUGCAUUGCCAGUACAGAUGAUUCAGAAAACACACAUGAUGCUAUGCCAACAGCCAGUGCUGCCAGUGAUAUGCCAGAGGUUGAUAGUCAUUCUUAUCUCAGAAACAUGUGUCUAUUUUAUCUUAAACUGCAAGGACAGCUGCUUGUACCUGCCUCUACUAUACAGACUAUUGUAGAGGAAAUGCAAAAUGUGCAUGACUUAGGUCAAGCCUACACAAUAAAUAAAGUAAGUUCUUUAUUAAAAAAUGAUAUGAGUCUAUCAGAUGAAGCAGUCACUAAAAUUUGUGACUGCAUUAAAGAGUCAGAUUUGUUCUCUUCCUGUCAUCAGGGACAAUUAAGAACAACAUACACCAGAAAUCAGACAUUCAAAAAAAUGUUUAAAUACACGGAACCCCGAAAAGUGGCAUUGGGAAUUGAUGAAAACAUGACACAAAAAUUCGCAUACUACAUACCAGUUGCAGAAACUCUGAAGAGCUUUCUACAGUCAGAUUUAUGGAGGAAUACACAGGCACAACAGUUUGGUGAUCCUGAUGUAGAGGUUUUUACCGAUUUAUAUGACGGACAAAAUUUCAAAUGCCACCAGUUCUUUAAUGAAAACCCUGAAAGCCUCAAACUGAUUUUGUACCAAGAUUCAUUUGAAGUGGUGAAUCCCCUGGGUUCUGGUAAAAAGACGCACAAAGUGCUUGCAGUCUAUCUUUCAUUAGCAAAUUUACCCAUCCAUUUGCGUUCCAAUACUGAUAAUAUGUUUUUGGUCUUGUUAUGUGUUGAGAAUGACUUUAAGCGUUUUGGAAUAGCCAAAGUUUUCUCAGAGUUGUUAGCAGAUCUGAAAUCCUUGGAGACGGAUGGAAUAAAUGUAGAUGGGGAAACAGUAAAAGCGGGUCUUUACUGCAUUGCUGGGGAUAACUUGGGUUCUCAUUGUGUAGGUGGGUUUACAGAAAACUUCAGCACCUCUCAAUAUUUUUGCAGAUACUGUGAAAUCACAAGAACUGAGUUUCAUGCUGAUCCGAAUGCCUGUGGUCCUCCACGCACCCCAGAGACGUAUGCCACGGCUGUGGAGGGUCUCCAGGCUGAAGACAUCCAAUGUGUCAGAGGAAUAAAGGUGGCAUUUGUUCUUCAGUGCAAAUAUGUGUGACGCAGAGCGAACCUUCCUAGAUGUCGCCAUCACUGAAUUCCUACCAGAACUUCCAGCAGUAAUCAAAACCAUCCUGGAAGAGCACUUGCAGUCCCUUGGUGUGGAGAUGGCUGAUGAUCUACGCUUCAUAACGGAGGCUGAUUUGAUGACAGCGUUAAGACCUGUACAAGCCAGAAAGCUUCUUUCUGCUUGGAAACGGAAAUACCAGACUCCCGAGAACAGCUCACCAUCAUCUGAGGCAGCCUCAUCUACCCAAUUGCUGUCAUAUCUCUCAGUUUCACCCGGAAGUUCAUCGUCAACCUCCAACAGCAGCCGAGUACUUGAAAAACAGUGGGACGACAACUUUGAAAUUCCAUGGAGUAAGUUUCCUGAGGAAGUGAUGCAUUAUCUUGAGAGGGGAAAAAGGCCAGGCCCAAAACGGAGGAGGCAAAUGGUCCGGAUUGUUGUGACUGAGAUGAUGGAAAAAUGCCCUCAUAUAGGCAAAAAGCAUUCAACCGACGUUGCAAAAAAAAUGGUCGCAAAAUAUCCACAUUCUCUGCAAGAUGUAAUAGAGGGCGAUAUUGUUGGAGCAGGCUACCUUUCCCUUGUCAAACAGUUGCAAAAUAGAAUUGAAAAUGCGAGGCGCACAUCAACACCCAAAAUAAGAAAAAGAAAACAUCAGACUGAUGACUCAGUCGACACAGACGAGAUCCCAUUGGAAGAGAGAGCAGCAAUGCAGGACACGUAUGGAUGCAUUAAAUGGAAUGUAGAAUUUCUGCCCCGUGAAGAAACUCCAGAGAGCCAGCAGCAAAAGAUGGAAAAACUCAAGGUGAUGUUCCAACACUCUGAUGCCAAUCCAGAGGAGGUAAAAUGUUUAAUGAAGUCCACUUUUUACACACAGAGACAACAUGUCAACCUGGGAAAAAGUAUCAAAAGCCUUAGAGAGGAGUGGCCGUUUUGCUUUGAUGAACUCGGCAUGUCAGUUCACUUCAAGGAACUGACUGGGAUUAACCUCAAAGAGACAUUCACACAAAAUUUGGAUUUGAAGGGAAAAAGGCUUCUCGACUACAUGGCCACAGUUUGUGUCAGCAAGAGCAAGUUUCUUCAGACUUAUGCAAGGCUUCAGAGAAUGCGGGGACAGCAGAGUGGCUGUUCAGAUGACGUGAAAGAGAUGCUCCUGCUUCUGCUCAGCUACUUUGAUGAGAAUGAGGAGUCCAUGUUCUUCCAUGUAGAAGAUACAUGUCUGGCAGAAGAAGUCCAACUGGAACAAGUGCCUCUGACACCCACUGUCAUUGUCUGUGGACAGUCCUGCUAUUCCUCAACAAGGUACAUGCUGAGUCUGGAUCGGAACCUCGUCAACACAAACAUCUCCUCCUUCAUUUCUGCAUUGUGCCUCAUGUUCGGGAGCUACUACAUUUUCAACAUCCAUUAUCCAUCUGAGCUGGCUUCAACUCUGGAGUUCCUUCAAAGGUGAGUAAUCAUGGCUUACUAAUUUCUCAGACCGUGGGACCUGGAGUCUGGCUCAGAGGUUCCCGUCUUAAAGGAGAAUGCCGGCCAUUUGUAAUCAAUAGCCCUGUUGAUUUGAGGCUACAAGUGCUGCAGUAGGAAAAAUAACGUGAACAUUUGGCUCAAUAUUUACCGAGUAUCAGAACGACAGCUAAAGCAAACCUAUUGGGCCAAGCUCCAUUAAGAUUUACUUUUGGUUUGCUUGCCCCCAUAGGUUUGCUUUAGCUGCCGUUCUGAUACUCUGUCAAUAUUGUGCCAAAUGUUCUCGAUAUUUUUUCCUACUGACGGCACUCGGUAACAGGGCUAUGGGUUAAAAACGGCACGCAUUCUCCUUUUUAAUCCAGACUUUAACUAACUGGGUCUGCCUCGGCCUUGGCUCUAUAGGUGUGGCCUGAGUCUUGGUCUUGGUUCUUCUUGUACUUCUUUUUUUAAAUGAUCAAUUAAAAUGCUUAAUAUGCUUUAAUAUGCUUUUUUUUUUACAGGUGUUUCUUCUCGAUAAACCCAGAAAAAGGAACCAAAGUAGAGAGUAAGAACAACAAGCGUCGUCUCAACCUGAACCCUCGAGUCCUCACCCUGAUACAGGAUCUCUCCGAUCACGAGUGGCGUCAAGCCUAAAUAUGGACUCUAUGUGGACUCUGACUGUUUGUUUGAGAAGAGGUACUUUUAGUUUUCGCUUUGUUAAUCCAAAAUGUGUAUUAUGGUAAUUAAGGCACACUAACUUUUCCUGGUAGAGGGUCCGCCACAUGCUUUUUUCAUAGUGUUAUUGCUUUGUAGUUAUGUUCCAGGUUGUUGUUUUUUACGGUGAAGAACUGUCUUACUGCUGUGUUUCUAGAUGGCUUGUUUAGGUUUGUUUCCUUACAGGUGGUUUUCCCCCGAUGUGUUCUAUGUCCCACGGGCACGGACGUGGUGACAUCCUAUACAGCAGGGUGCAUAUUGUAUGGGGACGAUUCCGAAACAUAAAUAUAUUAUGUAGCUAUCUCAAGUUAAUAUACACACACACACACACACACACACACACACACACACACACACACACACACACACACACACACACACACACACACACACACACACACACACACACACACACUCCCAGUGUGUUAGUCGGGACACUUCCAGUGCUAUAAGGCACUGAUCAUUUUCGGCACAUUAGGCCACGUUUUAGAGGGAUUUAAGCCUAAAUGUGGACUCUGUUUGUUUGAGAAGAGGUACUGUUAGGUUUCGCUUUGUUAAAUCCACAAUUUUUAUUAUUGUUAAGGCAAAAUAUGUCAUUUUUGUUUUAAAGUCUUGCAAUAUGUACAGGUGCACUAUGUCAUUUUUAUCUGACACCUGCUUGUUUCCAUUUUGUAUAUGUUGGAAAAAAAAAAUCAUCCAAUUGUUUAUUGCCGAUGGCUGGUAAAUAAAUUUCCCAAAAGGGAUAUUUUCCUCUCUUGUCUUUUUUCAAAAUUUAAUUUUUGCAUGUUUUGCAGUAGGAGUAUUGGUAAUAAUUUUACAGGUGUAUAAGUAAAUUUUACAUUAUAACUUGAUUAUUAAAACAUAAAAAUACAGCAUAUUAUAAAUAGAUUUUAUGUAUAAUAUA
Gadus chalcogrammus (walleye pollock) is the source of this 5630-nucleotide RNA transcript. RefSeq lists it as uncharacterized. The transcript is spliced from 4 exons. Lineage: Eukaryota; Metazoa; Chordata; Actinopteri; Gadiformes; Gadidae. The record is from RefSeq and is a predicted model, not a curated record.